GUUUAUGACGAUAUUACCUUGAACACACCCAAUCUCAUCUGAUCUCUGGAGUUAAGCAGGGUAAGACCUGGUUAGUACUUGGAUAUGAAGCCUGUUAUAUCCA
Molecule: ribosomal RNA, 103 nt
Organism: Cavia aperea (Brazilian guinea pig)
Lineage: Eukaryota; Metazoa; Chordata; Mammalia; Rodentia; Caviidae
Source: Ensembl